RNAcentral lists this ribosomal RNA (492 nucleotides) under uncultured bacterium. RNAcentral describes it as "partial 16S ribosomal RNA". It matches the Rfam family "Bacterial small subunit ribosomal RNA", at positions 29 to 507 of the family's 1533-position model. The record is from RNAcentral.
AGUGAACGCUGGCGGUAGGCCUAACACAUGCAAGUCGAACGGCAGCACAGUAAGAGCUUGCUCUUACGGGUGGCGAGUGGCGGACGGGUGAGGAAUACAUCGGAAUCUACUUUUUCGUGGGGGAUAACGUAGGGAAACUUACGCUAAUACCGCAUACGACCUACGGGUGAAAGCAGGGGAUCUUCGGACCUUGCGCGAUUGAAUGAGCCGAUGUCGGAUUAGCUAGUUGGCGGGGUAAAGGCCCACCAAGGCGACGAUCCGUAGCUGGUCUGAGAGGAUGAUCAGCCACACUGGAACUGAGACACGGUCCAGACUCCUACGGGAGGCAGCAGUGGGGAAUAUUGGACAAUGGGCGCAAGCCUGAUCCAGCCAUACUGCGUGGGUGAAGAAGGCCUUCGGGUUGUAAAGCCCUUUUGUUGGGAAAGAAAAGCAGCAGGUUAAUACCCCGCUGUUCUGACGGUACCGAAAGAAUAAGCACCGGCUAACUUCGUG